This 1226-nucleotide long non-coding RNA is filed under the name Astyanax mexicanus (Mexican tetra). RNAcentral's name for it is "lncRNA (ENSAMXG00005000838.1)". The record is from RNAcentral. Lineage: Eukaryota; Metazoa; Chordata; Actinopteri; Characiformes; Acestrorhamphidae.
AUGGGGGGUCAUGAUCUGCUGCGGAUUUUGGUCACUGUGCUGUUCGUGUUGGCUUAUGUGGUGGUUUUGGCAGUAAACGCUCUGGCUGGUUCGGGGAAAGGUCCAUUCUUAAGAAGUACCGGUAAUGUGUCAGGGCUGUAUGAGACGGAGAUCACCCCUGCUGGUUGGGCCUUCUCCAUAUGGGGAUUCCUCUACACCUGGCUCCUCCUCAUGAACAUAUAUAUUGUCACCUGGUUCUGUAGACGGUUAAUGAUCCCAGCGCUUGUAGUGUUGGCUCUGAUUGCGUUUACCAACUACUUCAUCAUCUACUUCUCCUGUGUUGGCCUGCAAGCGCAUGGAGCCAGGCUCAAACAGAACCACCCCGCUGACCUCUGCUGCAUCCGUGUUCUGGUUCAGAAUGGUAUUGCUGCCUAUGCCACAUGGACUACAAUAGCCACGCUCCUCAACUUGGCCGUGGUGCUUGGUCUUGGAUCAGUGUCGCCAACAAAUGCUGGCACUGUUUCUCUGUGCCUUCUCCUGCUAGAAGUGAUUGUGUGGUUUGCUGUGGAGAACUUUGUGGUGGAGAAGCAUGUCCGCUACAUUCUGAGUGUUUACCCCGUCGUCAUCUACGCUCUGAUUGGAAGCUUGAGCAGACACUACGACCCUGCAGCUCCAGGCAGGAACGCAGUCUUUACAGCUGUUCUCCUGUCUCUGGCCUGUAUCUUGUUCAUUGCGCGUGUGGUGCUGGUGAUUUGGAGACACCGUACUCAGCCUCUGUUCCAGGACGGGGUAGCUGAGGGGCUGAUGAGACCUGUCAGCACUACAGACAAGUAGCAGCACAGGGUAUACUGUACAUUACUCUAAACAUGAAGCACCACUCCACUUGCCAAAGUAUUUACUGCGGAAUGUGUUCAAAAUAUACAUGUUUUUUUUUUGACUGGUCAAAUCAUACAGUAUAUCAGUGCCCACCCACACACUCAUACACUAACACCACCAAACAGCUCCAACAGUUAAACAACACCUAAAGAAAACCUCACGUCUCCAUGUAUUACUCCACCACAUACAGGUAACCUAGCAACGAUGCAGCGCUUACAAGCCAAACAGCACAGCUACAAACAGAGCAGCAAUGGAAUUAUUUUAUCUUGUGGAGUGUUUAAAGCCUAACAGCUCGUCUUUUCUCAUCCUUUUUAACUCAAUCUAUCUAAUCUAUCAAUAAACAGUUAUAAUGGAACUGUGCUAUAAUCGCA